RNAcentral lists this ribosomal RNA (299 nucleotides) under uncultured bacterium. Its description in RNAcentral is "partial 16S ribosomal RNA". It matches the Rfam family "Bacterial small subunit ribosomal RNA", at positions 28 to 334 of the family's 1533-position model. The record is from RNAcentral.
GAUGAACGCUGGCGGCGUGCCUAAUACAUGCAAGUCGGACGGAGCGCUUCGGCGCUCAGUGGCGAACGGGUGAGUAGCACAUGGGCAACCUGCCCUUCAGAGGGGGACAACAGCUGGAAACGGACGCUAAUACCGCAUAACAUAUCUUUACCGCAUGAUAGAGAUAUCAAAGGAGCAAUCCGCUGAGAGAUGGGCUCGCGUCCGAUUAGAUAGUUGGUGAGGUAACGGCUCACCAAGUCGACGAUCGGUAGCCGGACUGAGAGGUUGAACGGCCACAUUGGGACUGAGACACGGCCCAG